This 465-nucleotide ribosomal RNA is filed under the name uncultured bacterium. RNAcentral's name for it is "partial 16S ribosomal RNA". It matches the Rfam family "Bacterial small subunit ribosomal RNA", at positions 338 to 795 of the family's 1533-position model. The record is from RNAcentral.
CCUACGGGUGGCAGCAGUGGGGAAUAUUGCGCAAUGGGCGAAAGCCUGACGCAGCGACGCCGCGUGAGGGAUGAAGGUCUUCGGAUCGUAAACCUCUGUCAGCAGGGAAGAACGGUCACUGUGCUAAUCAGCAGUGAAUUGACGGUACCUGCAAGGGAAGCACCGGCUAACUCCGUGCCAGCAGCCGCGGUAAUACGGAGUGUGCGUGCGUUAAUCGGAAUUACUGGGCGUAAAGCGCUCGUAGGCGGUAUGUCAAGUCAAGGGUGAAAUCCCCGCGCUCAACGUGGGAACUGCCUUUGAAACUGGCAAACUGGAGUGUGUGAGAGGAUAGUGGAAUUCCAGGUGUAGGAGUGAAAUGCGUAGAUAUCUGGAGGAACAUCAGUGGCGAAGGCGACUAUCUGGCACAUAACUGACGCUGAGGAGCGAAAGCGUGGGUAGCAAACAGGAUUAGAUACCCUAGUAGUC